Molecule: ribosomal RNA, 239 nt
Filed under: uncultured bacterium
Lineage: Bacteria
Description: partial 16S ribosomal RNA
Rfam family: Bacterial small subunit ribosomal RNA
Source: RNAcentral
UGGGUAAUCUGCCCUCGAUUCUGGGAUAGCCCGGGGAAACCCGGAUUAAUACCGGAUAGCCUCUCGAGCUUUCGAGCUCGUGAGAAAAGGUAGCUUCGGCCUCCGAUCGAGGAUGAGCCCGCGGCGGAUUAGCUUGUUGGUGGGGUAAUGGCCUACCAAGGCGACGACGGGUAGCCGGCCUGAGAGGGUGACCGGCCACACUGGGACUGAGACACGGCCCAGACUCCUACGGGAGGCAG